UACGGGGGGGGCAAGCGUUGUUCGGAAUUAUUGGGCGUAAAGGGCGCGUAGGCGGCUUGGCAAGUGGAUGGUGAAAUCCCUCGGCUUAACCGAGGAACUGCCGUCCAAACUGCUUCGCUUGAGACCGGGAGAGGUGAGUGGAAUUCCCAGUGUAGCGGUGAAAUGCGUGGAUAUUGGGAGGAACACCAGUGGCGAAGGCGGCUCACUGGACCGGUACUGACGCUGAUGCGCGAAAGCGUGGGGAGCAAACGGG
Molecule: ribosomal RNA, 253 nt
Filed under: uncultured bacterium
Lineage: Bacteria
Description: partial 16S ribosomal RNA
Rfam family: Bacterial small subunit ribosomal RNA
Source: RNAcentral